UGUAAAACUAAGAUGGAGAAAAAAAUGUUCGUUUUGUUAAUCGAAGAGAGUCGGCGUUAGGUGAAAGCUGAUAUUAGCAUGAAUAUAUAAUGAUCACUCCGGAGUUUCCAAGUUGAAAGAUUUUUAUCAAGUAGAUAAGGACGUUUACCAGCGAUAUAUGGUUAGGAUUAACAGUGAAUUUUUUAUUUCAUUAAGAUCCGAUUUGAGAGGCGGUUAAUGUAAUAACCGCAAAAAAGGUGGUACCACGGAAGUUAAUCUUUCGUCCUUAUG
This 270-nucleotide non-coding RNA is filed under the name Clostridium pasteurianum. RNAcentral describes it as "T-box sequence". It matches the Rfam family "T-box leader". From Rfam's summary of the family: Uncharged tRNA acts as the effector for transcription antitermination of genes in the T-box leader family. T-boxes are found upstream of many aminoacyl-tRNA synthetase genes and some amino acid biosynthetic genes usually in Gram-positive bacteria. Lineage: Bacteria; Bacillati; Bacillota; Clostridia; Eubacteriales; Clostridiaceae. The record is from RNAcentral.